UUCUAACGUUGACCCGUAAUCCGGGUUGCGGACAGUGUCUGGUGGGUAGUUUGACUGGGGCGGUCUCCUCCUAAAGAGUAACGGAGGAGCACGAAGGUUGGCUAAUCCUGGUCGGACAUCAGGAGGUUAGUGCAAUGGCAUAAGCCAGCUUGACUGCGAGCGUGACGGCGCGAGCAGGUGCGAAAGCAGGUCAUAGUGAUCCGGUGGUUCUGAAUGGAAGGGCCAUCGCUCAACGGAUAAAAGGUACUCCGGGGAUAACAGGCUGAUACCGCCCAAGAGUUCAUAUCGACGGCGGUGUUUGGCACCUCGAUGUCGGCUCAUCACAUCCUGGGGCUGAAGUAGGUCCCAAGGGUAUGGCUGUUCGCCAUUUAAAGUGGUACGCGAGCUGGGUUUAGAACGUCGUGAGACAGUUCGGUCCCUAUCUGCCGUGGGCGCUGGAGAACUGAGGGGGGCUGCUCCUAGUACGAGAGGACCGGAGUGGACGCAUCACUGGUGUUCGGGUUGUCAUGCCAAUGGCACUGCCCGGUAGCUAAAUGCGGAAGAGAUAAGUGCUGAAAGCAUCUAAGCACGAAACUUGCC
This 579-nucleotide ribosomal RNA is filed under the name Escherichia coli. RNAcentral's name for it is "partial 23S ribosomal RNA". It matches the Rfam family "Bacterial large subunit ribosomal RNA", at positions 2220 to 2798 of the family's 2925-position model. The record is from RNAcentral. Lineage: Bacteria; Pseudomonadati; Pseudomonadota; Gammaproteobacteria; Enterobacterales; Enterobacteriaceae.